This 223-nucleotide ribosomal RNA is filed under the name uncultured Entrophospora. RNAcentral's name for it is "uncultured Claroideoglomus partial small subunit ribosomal RNA". The stretch from base 94 to 223 matches the Rfam family "Eukaryotic small subunit ribosomal RNA", at positions 736 to 864 of the family's 1831-position model. Lineage: Eukaryota; Fungi; Glomeromycota; Glomeromycetes; Entrophosporales; Entrophosporaceae. The record is from RNAcentral.
GGAUUGGCGCAUCGGUCGUGCCUCACGGGGUAUGAACUGGUGCAGUCAAUUUCUCACCUUCUGGAGAACCGCGAUGUCCUUAAUUGGGUGCCGUGGGGAACCAGGACCUUUACUUUGAAAAAAUUAGAGUGUUUAAAGCAGGCAUUUUUGCUUGAAUACAUUAGCAUGGAAUAAUAAAAUAGGACGGCAUGGUUCUAUUUUGUUGGUUUCUAGGACCACCGUA